CAAUAGCGUAUAUUAAAGUUGUUGCAGUUAAAAAGCUCGUAGUUGGAUUUCUGGUGGGAGCGAUCGGUCUGGCGCUUAGCGCGAGUACUUGCAUCGUCUCCGGCCAUCCUUGGGGAGAGUCUGUCUGGCAUUAGGUUGUCGGGCAGAGGAUCCUCAUCGUUUACUGUGAAAAAAUUAGAGUGUUCAAAGCAGGCUUAUGCCGUUGAAUAUAUUAGCAUGGAAUAAUAAGAUAGGACUUUGGUACUAUUUUGUUGGUUUGCGCACCAAAGUAAUGAUUAAUAGGGACAGUUGGGGGUAUUCGUAUUCCAUUGUCAGAGGUGAAGUUCUUGGAUUUUUGGACGACGAACUACUGCGAAAGCAUUUACCAAGGAUGUUUUCAUUAA
This 383-nucleotide ribosomal RNA is filed under the name uncultured eukaryote. RNAcentral describes it as "partial 18S ribosomal RNA". It matches the Rfam family "Eukaryotic small subunit ribosomal RNA", at positions 592 to 976 of the family's 1831-position model. The record is from RNAcentral.